Molecule: ribosomal RNA, 633 nt
Filed under: Triticum aestivum (bread wheat)
Lineage: Eukaryota; Viridiplantae; Streptophyta; Magnoliopsida; Poales; Poaceae
Description: partial small subunit ribosomal RNA
Source: RNAcentral
AUGAUCAAAGAGAUAAGGAAGCAAAGCGGCUAUUCAUGGGACGACCGGCAGUGCAGGAUUCUAGCGGAUCCACCACUUUGGAAAAACAUCAUCAUAUCACACCCUAAAGCUGGAAAGUUCAAGACAAAAGCCUUCCCUCUUUUUGAAGCUUUGGGAGAAUUGCAUGAUGGCCAAACUGCAGAAGGGACAUAUAACUUCACCUCUAUCGAGUCAUCACAUUGCUCAACCCAAUCACAUCUCGAGAAUCUUGGAGGAGCUAGCAAGAAUCAAGGAGAAACAUCAGCUGAUGGUGAGAAUCUUGGAGGAGAAAGGGUGCAGAUUGAUGAAGAUGUUGAGGAGAAAUGGAGAAGAGAAAGAACCAAAGAGAAGGAGGGGGCGAAUGGUGAUGUGGCUGCAAUGAUGGAGAAGUACAUGGAAAUAAGGACGAAGCAGGUGGAGGAUGAGAGGAAUAAGCCAAGGGUCGUGGAUGAGUACUCUAUCAAAAACUGCAUUGAUCUGCUGAAAACAAUGGAGAUCACACUUGAAGAAGAAGUCAAGGCUUUCCGAGUCUUCAAGAUCCCUGAGAACCGAGAGAUUUUCAUGAGUGCCAGACCAGAGACUGCUCUUAUGUGGCUGAGAGCUGAAAUGGAAUAA